Molecule: long non-coding RNA, 695 nt
Filed under: Cavia porcellus (domestic guinea pig)
Lineage: Eukaryota; Metazoa; Chordata; Mammalia; Rodentia; Caviidae
Description: lncRNA (ENSCPOG00000039499.1)
Source: RNAcentral
UAUCACAUGCCCUAGAUCCAGCCAGCUCUGAAAAUCCCCACCUAUGAGCACAUGAGACUUUAGGGGAAUACCUGGAUACAAGGCAUAAUGUUGUCUUUGGGUAUAUUUCUUGGUCUUGUGCCAGUGUACUUUCCUAACAUGCUUGGGUUUUCCUUUGUUAGGUAUUUUAGGUGCCAUUUGAGUGGUCCACACCCACCCAUACUUAAAUAUCUUUUAGGAAGAACAACAGUAGCGUUGAAUGGGAGUCAAGUAUGGAUGGCAUGGGCAGCCACAGAGAGGAGGUCUGCUGCUGAAUGUGGGGAGAUCCUGUGUGGGCAGUCACGCACACAGGUCCCAUAAUGAUCUGGAACCGUAACUGGUGUGAGGUUCACUGCACAUGGUGCUCAGCUGAUGGCUGUCUGCUGGGACCGUUCAAGCUGUGCCUCUCCAGGAACUGCAAGUUCACAAUGCUGGGGGACAGUUAGGGGAAAGGACUACCAUCCAAGUGCCACCCAAGGGCAGCGAGGCAGGAAGUCUGCAUCCACCAACUGAAAUUUCCCUGGUCCCGUGGCUUGGACGUGAUGCACUGAGCUCCCUGAGCUUUCCCAGGUGAUGGGGAGGGCUAGGGUUAGGGUGGGGCCAGGGAGCCGCCUGUCUUGGGAUGUCAAAAAUUAAGUGAUGACGAUAAAUGACAUUUAAUGCUAUCAUUUAAAAAA